AUGGUGCCCUCAGGGCCAAGGCAGUGGCACUGCCCAGGCAUGCCGCCCUCAGAUUUUGCAACUGCAGCAUGCCUUGGGCUCCUUCUACCAGUUCCUGGAACCCUGGCAUGGCCGAUCGCAUUGACUGCCCAACCCUCCCCAGUCUGUCUCUCUCCCUGGAAUGCCAGCUCCACAGGCACCCAGGAAGCACCCUGCAUACAACUGCGGCGCUGUUCAUGUGUACUGCACAGCCACUCGGGAACAUGCUCUGUGCUGGGACGCUCACAUGGGAACCCCUUGGCAACCUCACAAAACCAGGAAGGGGUGUUUUAUGGCUCCUAUUUCCCAGAGGCAGAAACUGAUGCUCAGAAGGGGAGGCUCACCUGCUCAAGGUCAUCCUGCAAAGAAGUGACGGAGCUGAGGUUCUCAUCCAGCUCCCUUUGCCAUCCGAGGCUCCCGGCCAAGUUGCUGCCUGGCUCCUCCUGGACUCAUACGCUUGCAGGACUAAAGCGCAAGGAAACAUGGGGCAACCAGAGAUGCCUGGACCUUUGCGUCCACCCAUCAGGCCUUGUGGGGAGCUACAAGGGGGGUCAGCAGUGUCACUUUUUUGGAGGGCCUGUGUUGGGGGACUGUGGGCGCAAUAGGGGAUAGACAGUGCAGGAGGAGGGGAAGAGGAAACUUGUUCCCAUCACACAUCACAGCCAUGGUACCCUGGCCUCCAACAACCAGGCCGGGGAUCCAGAGUGACUCCCACCCCCAAGGAGGAUGCGCUGCAGCCACUCAGCGGGCUGACUUCUUUUUCCGGUAACUAUUACUCAGCUCCGGCAUCUGGGAGAAAGGUCAGGGAUGUGGCCAGCAGCAGUAACUGGACUGGAUGAGGGAGAGGGUGGAAUUCCCACUCCUCCCAACUCCCAGGCUGGCUUCCUGCUGCCUCCUUGCAGGUGUUGGAUGUCCCCAGAGGCAGGGAGGGGGCAGGAGAGACUCCCUGAUCUCUAUAUGGCCCAGACAGUCAUACAGGGCAGACUCCAUGCUGGUCCAGCCCAUGAUCCACUUCCUCCCAUGCUGGCCACCUGUCGCCAGCCUUCGGGACACACACUCACCACUGUAACUGAAUCUACCAGGCAGCUCUGUGGAUCCCCCCACCCUGUGACUGGCGCAGACUCAGGGAGAGUGAGAUGGGAGGGGGCAGGAGGGGCAGAGCAGGAGUUGGCAAGCAGGGCCAGGCUUCAGUCCUUCACCCUCUGCUCUUUCCCUCCUCCUGCUCUUCCAUCUUCCAGAUGGGCAGUUACCUAAUUUCCUCCACUGCUCAUAGCCUGUAACACCCCUGUGGGUCCACUGUGCGUGGGGCACUGACCGGGCACACAUGGUUUCUAACUGCUCAGGAUAGACCCCCGAUCUGCCUCUGACUUUACAACCUGUGGGUAUGAACAUUCCACGCGCUCUUGCUUUGCUGUGGGGUUAAGUGGAUUUCAUGGGUCCCAUUUUACAGAUGGGGAAACUGAGAAUCUGAGAGGUGAAGAAAUUUGCCCAGUGGGGGCUGAUUCAGAUCCUCUCUGGUUUCCUGGAUUUCAGUCCUGCCUCCACCCAAUCCCAUCUGAAAAAUGUCCCCCAAUUUCUCCAUGGCUCCUCAUCGCCCUAAGAAUAAAAUCCACGGUCAUCUUCACGGCCCAAGGCCCUGCAUGACCUGCCCCGUCCCCUGCCUCCCCUCCCCUCCUCCCUCUCUCCCCUUCACUCACUCUGCUUGUGCCUCAUGGGCUUCCUUCCUGUUCCUCCAAUACACCAGGACCAGUCCUUUGCCCAGACCUUUGCACAGACUGUGCUUUCUGCCAGGGACACAUUCCCCCAAUGUCUUAAAGCUGGCUUCUCAUCUUUCACGACACUUUCUCUAUAAGGCCUUCCCUCCCUUCACCCCUUCCACUUGCCACCCACCUAUCGUCCUAGUUUUUUUUUGUUUGUUUGUUUCAUAGCCUCAGCAUUGUUAGAUGCUGUGUCUGUGUACACCUGUCUUGGUCACUGCUGUAUCUCCAGUGCCUGGAACAGGGCUCAACACCCAGUAGGAGUCUGAUAAACAUUUAGGCCAGUGAUCAGCAGACUAUGGC
This 2078-nucleotide long non-coding RNA is filed under the name Bos grunniens (domestic yak). RNAcentral's name for it is "lncRNA (ENSBGRG00000000540.1)". The record is from RNAcentral. Lineage: Eukaryota; Metazoa; Chordata; Mammalia; Artiodactyla; Bovidae.